AGUGAACGCUGGCGGUAGGCCUAACACAUGCAAGUCGAACGGCAGCACAGUAAGAGCUUGCUCUUACGGGUGGCGAGUGGCGGACGGGUGAGGAAUACAUCGGAAUCUACUUUUUCGUGGGGGAUAACGUAGGGAAACUUACGCUAAUACCGCAUACGACCUACGGGUGAAAGCAGGGGAUCUUCGGACCUUGCGCGAUUGAAUGAGCCGAUGUCGGAUUAGCUAGUUGGCGGGGUAAAGGCCCACCAAGGCGACGAUCCGUAGCUGGUCUGAGAGGAUGAUUAGCCACACUGGAACUGAGACACGGUCCAGACUCCUAAGGGAGGCAGCAGUGGGGAAUAUUGGACAAUGGGCGCAAGCCUGAUCCAGCCAUACCGCGUGGGUGAAGAAGGCCUUCGGGUUGUAAAGCCCUUUUGUUGGGAAAGAAAAGCAGCAGGUUAAUACCCCGCUGUUCUGACGGUACCCAAAGAAUAAGCACCGGCUAACUUCGUG
RNAcentral lists this ribosomal RNA (492 nucleotides) under uncultured bacterium. RNAcentral describes it as "partial 16S ribosomal RNA". It matches the Rfam family "Bacterial small subunit ribosomal RNA", at positions 29 to 507 of the family's 1533-position model. The record is from RNAcentral.